Juglans microcarpa x Juglans regia is the source of this 2126-nucleotide RNA transcript. It is a transcript of the gene named CTD nuclear envelope phosphatase 1 homolog, with no coding region annotated. Lineage: Eukaryota; Viridiplantae; Streptophyta; Magnoliopsida; Fagales; Juglandaceae. The record is from RefSeq and is a predicted model, not a curated record. The transcript is spliced from 7 exons.
ACAUAUCUGGGCAAAGGAGAUACGUUGAUAUCCAAACGCACCCCAAUCAUCCUCUUCGUCUCUUUUCUGAGAGAAACAGAGUCACCUUUUGGCUGUAAUGCCCAUUUCGGAGUUGACUCAGACCGAUGCGUACUCGCCGAGUUCUCUGCACGUAUGGCGUACGCUCCUGAACUGGUUGGCCUUCUUCUUCCGGAUCUUCCUUCAGAUCCUCAGAGCUCUCAGCCACCACGCUCUGCCCUCUUCCUCCUCCUCUUCUUCUUCUUCGUCUUUCAAGCCCUUACCGGUCGUUGAGCUCCCGGACCACGACUCGCCUGCCGCCUCCGAAAUAGAAAUCCCGGUCACCGCCAGAGACUCCGAUUCCGACGAGCGUCUCGAGAAGCUCACGGUAGUUCUUGACUUGGACGAAACUCUAGUAUCUACAUACGAGACAUCUAAUUUGCCAGAUAGCGUUCGUAAUCAAGCAACAGAAGCUGGGUUGAAGUGUUUCGAACUGGAAUGCAUAUCUUCGGACAAGGAAUGUGAAGGAAAACCUAAGGUCACCUAUGUUACAGUUUUUGAGCGCCCAGGAUUGCAAGAAUUCUUGAAAGAAGUCGGUCAAUUUGCGGAUCUUGUGCUGUUUACUGCUGGUCUUGAAGGUUAUGCUAGACCACUUGUGGACAAAAUAGAUACUGAAAAUCGAUUUGGUCUUCGACUUUAUCGCCCUUCUACAACUAUCACCGAGUAUCGGGAGCACGUGAAGGAUCUCUCCAUCCUAUCAAAGAAUCCAAAACGAAUUGUCAUUGUUGAUAACAAUCCAUUCAGUUUCUUGUUGCAACCACUGAAUGGAAUUCCUUGCAUUCCAUUUACUGCCGGGCAACCCCAUGACACAGAGCUUUUGGAAGUCCUCCUUCCACUCCUCAAGCACCUCUCUCAACAGAAAGAUGUGAGACCAGUGCUCUCUGAAAGGUUCCAUAUGCCUGAAUGGUUUCAAAAGCAAGGGAUUCCUAGUUCUGCUUGGACAUCUUAGGAUACGGGCUCUCCUUGCAAUAAGAGCCGCCCUUCUUCUUUGUACAAUCCUCCACGAUUACUUUUUCCCAAAGGCAGCAUCUCAUCAUUGGACUAAUUGUACACUGGAGUGAUGAAAGCUCCUUCGAAGUUCAAUUCGAAGAUGUCAACUGCUGCGAACCGUGGUCACAAAGACAGGACCGCUAAUUAUUUGCUGUGUACAUGUUUUGUGCGGUGCAUGUUACGAUAUGAGAUCUGGAUUACCUAAACUUGCCAAAGCUAUGACUAAGGGCAUGAAAUAGGAGCGCAUUGGAUGAGAACAAGGCAUCGCAUACACCAGAUGCCUCCCAAGUUCACACGCAUGAAUUUAUCUAGACACGCUGUUGUUGAAUCAAAGGUUUAGGUUUGUGUUUAAGAAGCCAGGAAAUCCCACCUCUCUUUCUCUCUCUCUCUCUCUCUCUCUCCAUUUUCUUCUUUUAGAUACAAAGGGAAGAAGAUUAGAGGCCGUCCUUGGCAGCCCCCUUUGUGAAAAUAACACGGGUUGCCCAAUCUUAGACCUGAGGCCUGCGCCACCUAAGGACGUACAAUGGACCAACCCCCGAGUGAAGUAAGGUGUUAUUCACAAUAAGUAACAAGCACACGCCCUAUCACUUGUACACAGCUCGAUAGAUGGGGUAUAAGCUAAGGAAAAAGGGUAAUCUUAUUUCUGUUUUGACAAUCAACGGGGAGGGAGAGAGAGAAUUUGAGCCCUAGUAAAGAUUUAAACCCCGGGCUAUUGACUCGUCGGCACAACCUUUAAUUUCCAUUAAAGUUUACUAGAGAAGCUUGUGCCUUGUGGGAAUCUUUCACUUGCUUUCGGCUUGUGAUCUUGCAGCUGAGAAUUAUCUGGCAGUCUCCAACAAUGGGGAGCAGAGUGAGGGCACUCUGCCCGGCCACAUGGUCGGCGGUUGCCUUGUUAAGUUGUUAAUGAUUUCUAUCAAUCAGAUUAGUUAGCAGUCCAACAUCAUGUUAGGAAUUCAGGCUACCCACAUGUGACUUUUGCAGCUUUCUUUGUCCUUAAAGCUUAUCACUGUCAGUGCCAAGUAGCAGCAUUAGCUGCGUUGGGAACUUUUCCUUCAAAAGGAUGAUCUUCUUUCCGUUUA